This 563-nucleotide long non-coding RNA is filed under the name Mytilus galloprovincialis (Mediterranean mussel). Lineage: Eukaryota; Metazoa; Mollusca; Bivalvia; Mytilida; Mytilidae. The record is from RNAcentral.
GUGCUCUUGAUGGGUAGACAGUACCUGCUCCAAAUGUGGCCCCAUGGUUGUUGCUCACGAAAGUAAAAAUUCAAGAGGUACACCUCAUUCACUUAUUUCUGUAUUUUUGCUCUGUCCCAAUCAUUGAUCUUGUGUAAUAUUGAUGUACUUUAAUUGUCAAUAAACUCCACAAUAAUAUGACUUCAACUUUACUAUUUCUAUCAUUCCUUUGACGCAGUAGUCUCUCUUUUAGUAAUACCUUUUAUGAAGAAAGAACAAGUCCAGGAAAGUUUGCCUACCAUUUUUUAGAUUUCAUGCAUCUUUUGUAAAACAUAACACACUUAAGGUGGGUUGAAAAUACAAGUCAAAAUUUGUGAUCUAGAAAUUUAAAGAUUAUCAAUACAUUUAUUGAAAUUCACAACAUUUGUUCCUUUAUAGCAAUUUUUUUCAAUGUGUCUCUUACUUCUAUUUAAUCUCAUCGUAUUGCCUCUGAUUAGAUUUAUUUUAAAUGGAUUUAAAACAAUUAAUGACAACACGAAAUAUUUAUUCUAAGCAAUCAAGACCACCACAUUUUUUCAACCAAC